Molecule: unclassified non-coding RNA, 332 nt
Filed under: soil metagenome
Description: partial contains 5.8S ribosomal RNA, internal transcribed spacer 2, and large subunit ribosomal RNA
Rfam family: 5.8S ribosomal RNA (bases 1-120)
Source: RNAcentral
GAUGAAGAACGCAGCGAAAUGCGAUAAGUAAUGUGAAUUGCAGAAUUCAGUGAAUCAUCGAAUCUUUGAACGCACAUUGCGCCCCCUGGUAUUCCGGGGGGCAUGCCUGUUCGAGCGUCAUUUCACCACUCAAGCCUCGCUUGGUAUUGGGCGACGCGGUCCGCCGCGCGCCUCAAAUCGACCGGCUGGGUCUUCCGUCCCCUCAGCGUUGUGGAAACUAUUCGCUAAAGGGUGCCGCGGGAGGUCACGCCACAAAACAACCCCAUUUCUAAGGUUGACCUCGGAUCAGGUAGGGAUACCCGCUGAACUUAAGCAUAUCAAUAAGCGGAGGA